UACGGAGGAUGCAAGCGUUAUCCGGAUUCAUUGGGUUUAAAGGGUGCGCAGGCGGAGAGAUAAGUCAGUGGUGAAAAACUGCCGCUCAACGGUAGUCUUGCCAUUGAUACUGUCUUUCUUGAGUAUGGAUGAGGUAGGCGGAAUGUGCAGUGUAGCGGUGAAAUGCAUAGAUAUUGCACGGAACACCAAUUGCGAAGGCAGCUUACUGGACCAUUACUGACGCUCAGGCACGAAGGCGUGGGGAU
Molecule: ribosomal RNA, 245 nt
Filed under: uncultured prokaryote
Description: partial 16S ribosomal RNA
Rfam family: Bacterial small subunit ribosomal RNA
Source: RNAcentral